ACGGGACCGCACAAGCGGUGGAUGAUGUGGUUAAUUCGUAUGCAACGCGAAAACCUUACCACCUUUGACAUGUACGGAAUCCUUUAGAGAUAGAGGAGUGCUCGAAAGAGAGCCGUAACACAGGUGCUGCAUGGCUGUCGUCAGCUCGUGUCGUGAGAUGUUGGGUUAAGUCCCGCAACGAGCGCAACCCUUGUCAUUAGUUGCUACAUUCAGUUGGGCACUCUAAUGAGACUGCCGGUGACAAACCGGAGGAAGGUGGGGAUGACGUCAAGUCCUCAUGGCCCUUAUAGGUGGGGCUACACACGUCAUACAAUGGAUGGUACAAAGGGUCGCCAACCCGCGAGGGGGAGCCAAUCCCAUAAAGCCAUUCGUAGUCCGGAUCGCAGUCUGCAACUCGACUGCGUGAAGUCGGAAUCGCUAGUAAUCGUGGAUCAGAAUGUCACGGUGAAUACGUUCCCGGGUCUU
Molecule: ribosomal RNA, 465 nt
Filed under: uncultured Acidovorax sp.
Lineage: Bacteria; Pseudomonadati; Pseudomonadota; Betaproteobacteria; Burkholderiales; Comamonadaceae
Description: bacterial SSU rRNA
Rfam family: Bacterial small subunit ribosomal RNA
Source: RNAcentral